Molecule: ribosomal RNA, 465 nt
Filed under: Vreelandella stevensii
Lineage: Bacteria; Pseudomonadati; Pseudomonadota; Gammaproteobacteria; Oceanospirillales; Halomonadaceae
Description: partial 16S ribosomal RNA
Rfam family: Bacterial small subunit ribosomal RNA
Source: RNAcentral
CCUACGGGUGGCUGCAGUGGGGAAUAUUGGACAAUGGGCGAAAGCCUGAUCCAGCCAUGCCGCGUGUGUGAAGAAGGCCUUCGGGUUGUAAAGCACUUUCAGUGGGGAAGAAAGCCUUGGGGCUAAUACCCUCGAGGAAGGACAUCACCCACAGAAGAAGCACCGGCUAACUCCGUGCCAGCAGCCGCGGUAAUACGGAGGGUGCGAGCGUUAAUCGGAAUUACUGGGCGUAAAGCGCGCGUAGGCGGUCUGAUAAGCCGGUUGUGAAAGCCCCGGGUUCAACCUGGGAACGGCAUCCGGAACUGUCAGGCUAGAGUGCAGGAGAGGAAGGUAGAAUUCCCGGUGUAGCGGUGAAAUGCGUAGAGAUCGGGAGGAAUACCAGUGGCGAAGGCGGCCUUCUGGACUGACACUGACGCUGAGGUGCGAAAGCGUGGGUAGCAAACAGGAUUAGAUACCCUAGUAGUC